CCCUUAGAUGUCCUGGGCCGCACGCGCGUUACACUGAUGCAUUCAACGAGCUUAUAACCUUGGCCGAGAGGCCUGGGCAAUCUUGUUAACGUGCAUCGUGAUAGGGAUAGAUUAUUGAAAUUAUUAAUCUUGAACGAGGAAUUCCUAGUAAACGCAGAUCAUCAAUCUGCAUUGAUUACGUCCCUGCCCUUUGUACACACCGCCCGUCGCACCUACCGAUUGGAUGGUCCGGUGACGCCUCGGGAUUGUGGUUCUUGCCGCUUUAUUGUGGCGUGACCGCGAGAACUUGUCUAAACCUUAUCAUCUAGAGGAAGGUGAAGUCGUAACA
This 328-nucleotide ribosomal RNA is filed under the name uncultured eukaryote. Its description in RNAcentral is "partial 18S ribosomal RNA". It matches the Rfam family "Eukaryotic small subunit ribosomal RNA", at positions 1470 to 1796 of the family's 1831-position model. The record is from RNAcentral.